GGGGCUGAUUCUGGAUUCGACGGGAUUCGCGAAACCCAAGGUGCAUGCCGAGGGGCGGUUGGCCUCGUAAAAAGCCGCAAAACAAUAGUCGCAAACGACGAAAACUACGCACUGGCAGCUUAAUAACCUGCGCAGAGCCCUCUCUCCCUAGCCUCCGCUCUUAGGACGGGGAUCAAGAGAGGUCAAACCCAAAAGAGAUCGCGUGGAUGCCCUGCCUGGGGUUGAAGCGUUAAAUCCAAUCAGGCUAGUUUGUCAGUGGCGUGUCUGUCCGCAGCUGGCAAGCGAAUACAAAGACUAGACUAAGCAUGUAGUACCAAGGAUGUAGGAAUUUCGGACGCGGGUUCAACUCCCGCCAGCUCCACCA
RNAcentral lists this transfer-messenger RNA (364 nucleotides) under Xenorhabdus thuongxuanensis. RNAcentral describes it as "Standard tmRNA". It matches the Rfam family "transfer-messenger RNA". From Rfam's summary of the family: Bacterial tmRNA, also known as 10Sa RNA or SsrA, is named for its dual tRNA and mRNA-like properties. Its role is to liberate the mRNA from a stalled ribosome. Lineage: Bacteria; Pseudomonadati; Pseudomonadota; Gammaproteobacteria; Enterobacterales; Morganellaceae. The record is from RNAcentral.